AGUCGAGCGGUAGAGAGAAGCUUGCUUCUCUUGAGAGCGGCGGACGGGUGAGUAAUGCCUAGGAAUCUGCCUGGUAGUGGGGGAUAACGUUCGGAAACGGACGCUAAUACCGCAUACGUCCUACGGGAGAAAGCAGGGGACCUUCGGGCCUUGCGCUAUCAGAUGAGCCUAGGUCGGAUUAGCUAGUUGGUGGGGUAAUGGCUCACCAAGGCGACGAUCCGUAACUGGUCUGAGAGGAUGAUCAGUCACACUGGAACUGAGACACGGUCCAGACUCCUACGGGAGGCAGCAGUGGGGAAUAUUGGACAAUGGGCGAAAGCCUGAUCCAGCCAUGCCGCGUGUGUGAAGAAGGUCUUCGGAUUGUAAAGCACUUUAAGUUGGGAGGAAGGGUUGUAGAUUAAUACUCUGCAAUUUUGACGUUACCGACAGAAUAAGCACCGGCUAACUCUGUGCCAGCAGCCGCGGUAAUACAGAGGGUGCAAGCGUUAAUCGGAAUUACUGGGCGUAAAGCGCGCGUAGGUGGUUUGUUAAGUUGGAUGUGAAAUCCCCGGGCUCAACCUGGGAACUGCAUUCAAAACUGACUGACUAGAGUAUGGUAGAGGGUGGUGGAAUUUCCUGUGUAGCGGUGAAAUGCGUAGAUAUAGGAAGGAACACCAGUGGCGAAGGCGACCACCUGGACUAAUACUGA
This 688-nucleotide ribosomal RNA is filed under the name Pseudomonas sp. Y4_251_2. RNAcentral describes it as "bacterial SSU rRNA". It matches the Rfam family "Bacterial small subunit ribosomal RNA", at positions 60 to 743 of the family's 1533-position model. Lineage: Bacteria; Pseudomonadati; Pseudomonadota; Gammaproteobacteria; Pseudomonadales; Pseudomonadaceae. The record is from RNAcentral.